GACGAACGCUGGCGGCGUGCUUAACACAUGCAAGUCGAACGGAAAGGCCCUGCUUUUGUGGGGUGCUCGAGUGGCGAACGGGUGAGUAACACGUGAGUAACCUGCCCUUGACUUUGGGAUAACUUCAGGAAACUGGGGCUAAUACCGGAUAGGAGCUCCUGCUGCAUGGUGGGGGUUAGAAAGUUUCGGCGGUUGGGGAUGGACUCGCGGCUUAUCAGCUUGUUGGUGGGGUAGUGGCUUACCAAGGCUUUGACGGGUAGCCGGCCUGAGAGGGUGACCGGCCACAUGGGGACUGAGAUACGGACCAGACUGCAACGGGAGGCAGCAGUGGAGAAUAUUGCACAGUGGGCGGAAGCCUGAUGCAGCAACGCCGCGUGCGGGAUGACGGCCUUCGGGUUGUAAACCGCUUUCGCCUGUGACGAAGCGUGAGUGACGGUAAUGGGUAAAGAAGCACCGGCUAACUACGUG
Molecule: ribosomal RNA, 468 nt
Filed under: uncultured bacterium
Lineage: Bacteria
Description: partial 16S ribosomal RNA
Rfam family: Bacterial small subunit ribosomal RNA
Source: RNAcentral